GAUAACCAGUCGAAAGAUUGGCUAAUACCGGAUAAGCCCACGGUCUCUUCGGAGACUGAGGGAAAAGGUGGCCUCUGUAUACAAGCUAUCACAACCAGAUGAGUCCGCGGCCCAUCAGCUAGUUGGCGGGGUAAUGGCCCACCAAGGCAACGACGGGUAGCUGGUCUGAGAGGACGAUCAGCCACACUGGAACUGAGACACGGUCCAGACUCCUACGGGAGGCAGCAGUGGGGAAUUUUGCGCAAUGGGCGAAAGCCUGACGCAGCAACGCCGCGUGUGUGAUGAAGGUCUUUGGAUUGUAAAGCACUUUCGACCGGGACGAAACCGUAAAGCCUAAUACGCUUUGCCUUGACGGUACCGGGAGAAGAAGCACCGGCUAACUCUGUGCCAGCAGCCGCGGUAAUACAGAGGGUGCAAGCGUUGUUCGGAAUUAUUGGGCGUAAAGCGCGUGUAGGCGGCUUUGCAAGUCGGGUGUGAAAGCCCUCAGCUCAACUGAGGAAGUGCGCCCGAAACUGCAGAGCUUGAGUGCCGGAGAGGGUGGCGGAAUUCCCCAAGUAGAGGUGAAAUUCGUAGAUAUGGGGAGGAACACCGGUGGCGAAGGCGGCCACCUGGACGGUAACUGACGCUGAGACGCGAAAGCGUGGGUAGCAAACAGGAUUAGAUACCCUGGUAGUCCACGCCGUAAACGAUGAGAACUAGGUGUCGUGGGAGUUGACCCCCG
This 721-nucleotide ribosomal RNA is filed under the name Corallococcus exiguus. RNAcentral describes it as "bacterial SSU rRNA". It matches the Rfam family "Bacterial small subunit ribosomal RNA", at positions 142 to 840 of the family's 1533-position model. Lineage: Bacteria; Pseudomonadati; Myxococcota; Myxococcia; Myxococcales; Myxococcaceae. The record is from RNAcentral.